Molecule: non-coding RNA, 206 nt
Organism: Pelobates cultripes (western spadefoot toad)
Lineage: Eukaryota; Metazoa; Chordata; Amphibia; Anura; Pelobatidae
Source: the annotation of a GenBank genome assembly
AAAGUGAAAACCAAACUUUACAGGGUUAUUCAAUAAAAUUACGAUGUUGGGAAUUCAAAGUUAUUUUCACGAUAGGCUAAAAUAACCAAAUUAGAAAAAAUGUCCCAGUUAAUUCUGUUUUACAUUUGGCUAUUUUCACCUUAAAUUUGAAAAUUCACUUUCAAUCCCUAAUAAUUCUCAAUUUAGGGAAUGACCUUGUAUGUCCC